CCUACGGGGGGCAGCAGUGGGGAAUAUUGCACAAUGGGGGAAACCCUGAUGCAGCGACGCCGCGUGAGCGAAGAAGUAUCUCGGUUUGUAAAGCUCUAUCAGCAGGGAAGAAAAUGACGGUACCUGACUAAGAAGCCCCGGCUAACUACGUGCCAGCAGCCGCGGUAAUACGUAGGGGGCAAGCGUUAUCCGGAUUUACUGGGUGUAAAGGGAGCGCAGGCGGCGCGGUAAGUCUGAUGUGAAAGCCCGGGGCUUAACCCAGGGACUGCAUUGGAAACUGUCGUGCUGGAGUGUCGGAGGGGUAAGUGGAAUUCCUGGUGUAGCGGUGAAAUGCGUAGAGAUUAGGAGGAACACCAGUGGCGAAGGCGGCCUGCUGGACGACAACUGACGCUGAGGCUCGAAAGCGUGGGGAGCAAACAGGAUUAGAUACCCGUGUAGUC
RNAcentral lists this ribosomal RNA (440 nucleotides) under uncultured bacterium. RNAcentral describes it as "partial 16S ribosomal RNA". It matches the Rfam family "Bacterial small subunit ribosomal RNA", at positions 338 to 795 of the family's 1533-position model. The record is from RNAcentral.